GGGAAUAGAUAGGUACUGGUGUGCCUGCCAGUCUUCAAAACUGUGCAGUCGUGCUAAUAACACGAUUGGUGGGUUCGAUUCCCACAUGUUCCC
This 93-nucleotide transfer RNA is filed under the name Clostridium sp. USBA 49. RNAcentral describes it as "Selenocysteine transfer RNA". It matches the Rfam family "Selenocysteine transfer RNA". The record is from Rfam by way of RNAcentral. Lineage: Bacteria; Bacillati; Bacillota; Clostridia; Eubacteriales; Clostridiaceae.